RNAcentral lists this ribosomal RNA (503 nucleotides) under uncultured bacterium. Its description in RNAcentral is "partial 16S ribosomal RNA". It matches the Rfam family "Bacterial small subunit ribosomal RNA", at positions 30 to 523 of the family's 1533-position model. The record is from RNAcentral.
AUUGAACGCUGGCGGCAGGCUUAACACAUGCAAGUCGAGCGGGGUGAUGGUGCUUGCACUAUCACUUAGCGGCGGACGGGUGAGUAAUGCUUAGGAAUCUGCCUAUUAGUGGGGGACAACAUCUCGAAAGGGAUGCUAAUACCGCAUACGUCCUACGGGAGAAAGCAGGGGAUCACUUGUGACCUUGCGCUAAUAGGUGAGCCUAAGUCGGAUUAGCUAGUUGGUGGGGUAAAGGCCUACCAAGGCGACGAUCUGUAGCGUGUCUGAGAGGAUGAUCCGCCACACUGGGACUGAGACACGGCCCAGACUCCUACGGGAGGCAGCAGUGGGGAAUAUUGGACAAUGGGGGGAGCCCUGAUCCAGCCAUGCCGCGUGUGUGAAGAAGGCCUUAUGGUUGUAAAGCACUUUAAGCGAGGAGGAGGCUCUUUUGGUUAAUACCCAAGAUGAGUGGACGUUACUCGCAGAAUAAGCACCGGCUAACUCUGUGCCAGCCGCCGCAGUAA